AAUUAAUUUUUUGAGAAAGAAAGUUUUAGGUCCAUUUGAACUAUCAGAACAAUUUGACAUUAUCAUCUGUUAGAUAUGUCUCGAAUUUUAGUACCACAAGAUUUUCUAACUCUAUUCUGUUUUGAUUAUCCCAUUAAGUUAAGUUUAGAUUAUGCCUAAUUUUAUUGAUAUAUUCCUAAUCUUAGUGGAUUUGUAUUCUUAGUUGUAUUAGGAUUUAGCCACUAUUAUAAAUAUACCCUUUAUACCAUUGAUUUGGUGCGGAAGAUGAGAGAGGAAAUAUGGGUGUAUUUUUUGGGAUUAGGGUUUUGUGAGAGAGACAUAUUUUGUACACCACUUUGAUUCUAAUGAAGAUUUUCGCUCUGUCUUCGCCCGUGGACGUAGGCCGUUGGCCGAACCAUGUAAAUAUUGUGUGCUUUAUUUUUCUUCUCUCUUUCUCGGAUCUCUUUUGGUAUUUUCGCAUCCGACGAACUAGAUUUUCUCAGUUUUAGUUCUAACAUCAUCCAAACUAUAAAAAUGAAAUAAAAUAAACCACAAUCUGUUUUUAAAUAAA
This 550-nucleotide long non-coding RNA is filed under the name Ananas comosus (pineapple). Its description in RNAcentral is "long non-coding RNA (ACOM_LNC001262)". The record is from RNAcentral. Lineage: Eukaryota; Viridiplantae; Streptophyta; Magnoliopsida; Poales; Bromeliaceae.